UACCUGAGCUUCGCAUCCAGGGGUAGAUCCGGAAGUUACUCUCGGCCGCCAAGUCCGAGUCCCUCUGCUCCUUGGCGCCCGCCGCCUUGGCGGAGUCGCCGGGACACACCCCGGAGAGGUUCUGCUCAAAGGGCGCGCAGUGCAUGUUGAAGGAACUCGGCUCGAGCCCAUAGCCGGCCGCGUAGACGCCGGCCGCGCUCUGGCCCGCCAUGCCCCCCCCGCCGGGGUACAAGCCCUGCAUCGAGGCGGCGAAGGAAGCGCCCGAACCCGCUCCAUAGCCCGGGCGCUGGGGGUUGGAAGCAAACGCACAAGAAGUUUGUUCUGGGAAGGCUCCGGUAGCGAAAACCGAACUUGAGGCUGGAU
RNAcentral lists this long non-coding RNA (363 nucleotides) under Homo sapiens (human). Its description in RNAcentral is "HSALNT0241990". The record is from RNAcentral. Lineage: Eukaryota; Metazoa; Chordata; Mammalia; Primates; Hominidae.